UGACCUGCCUCGGCCUCCCAAACUGCUGGGAUUACAGGUGUGACCACCAUGCCUGACCCUGAUGCACUUUCAAAGUUUUCCGUAACCGUGAGUUUUAAGUAGCUGAGCUCUAAACCUAAAUAAUUGCCCAAGGGUGAUGGUUAAGGAGACCGCAGAGUGGGAAGAACAGAGAGGAGAGAGGCUUGGGAAGACCAGGUGAGGAGGAGCAGUCAGAGUCAGGGAAGAGCCCUGGCAGGAACUGAGGAGGAAGAGUGGACAGCAGCAUCCGAGGGAAGGAGGACUCCAGAGGCUCCUGACUUGGGCGAGGGAGCCAGCCACCAUGGGCCCAGGGCUUCCAGCCAGAUGGGACCGCUGUCACAGGAUCCUUGGGGUGUCACAUUUCUAGCUGGAAACCUCUGUGGCUGGUAGCACCCUUGCCCAAGUUUUGCUUGGGCCCACUGGACUUGUUCUGCCCACUCACUCAGCCUGGCAUGCUGCACUCAACUGACGCUACUGGCCUGGAUCCCACGCCUGGCCAGAGCGAGUCAGGCACAGGGCAGUGAGGGGCGUGUGAGUGAGCAUAGGGUCCAGCCACUGUGCAAUCAGGCACGCCAGCAGCUGCAGCAGGGUGGGCAGCUCCAGGUGCUGGUGUGGGCACUGGCUCUCUGCAAGGCUGCAGCUGGACCAGGCACACUGCAAGCAGCUUCCACAGCUGGCACUGGAGAAUGCAGUAUGCCAGGAACCACAGGGCCCCAAAGAGGGAGUUCAACUCAGAAGGGGUGGGGCUCCUGCUUGUCCCUGGCCUGGGGGCUGCAGCUCUUCUCUCCUUCUCUUCCCCCACAGCAUGGCAAGCAAGGGGCAUGUUUCAGCCCUGUUUGUGUUACACCAGCUCUUUUAGCCUUGCCAGAUUCAACGGGUCCCAAGUUCUUGUCCUGUGACCAGGAAGAAUGAGCUAUACAGGCCAUACCUUGGAGACACUGCGGGUUCAGAUCCAGACCACCAAUAAAGCAAACAUUGCAGUAAAUCAAGUCACACAAAUGUUUUUGUUUCCCAGUGCAUAUAAAAGUUGUAUUUACACUACACUGUAGUCUAUUAAGUGUGUAAUAAGCACCGUGUCUACAAAAACAGUGUAUGUACUUUAAUUAACAUACUUCAUUGCUAAAAAAUGCUAAUGAUCAUCUGA
Macaca mulatta (Rhesus monkey) is the source of this 1162-nucleotide non-coding RNA. The record is from RefSeq and is a predicted model, not a curated record. Lineage: Eukaryota; Metazoa; Chordata; Mammalia; Primates; Cercopithecidae.